RNAcentral lists this ribosomal RNA (253 nucleotides) under uncultured bacterium. RNAcentral's name for it is "partial 16S ribosomal RNA". It matches the Rfam family "Bacterial small subunit ribosomal RNA", at positions 524 to 776 of the family's 1533-position model. The record is from RNAcentral.
UACGUAGGGGGCUAGCGUUGUCCGGAAUCAUUGGGCGUAAAGCGCGUGUAGGCGGCCCGGUAAGUCCGCUGUGAAAGUCGGGGGCUCAACCCUCGAAAGCCGGUGGAUACUGUCGGGCUAGAGUACGGAAGAGGCGAGUGGAAUUCCUGGUGUAGCGGUGAAAUGCGCAGAUAUCAGGAAGAACACCUAUGGCGAAAGCAGCUCUCUGGGACGGUACUGACGCUGAGACGCGAAAGCGUGGGGAGCGAACAGG